AAGUCCUGCUUCUGUUGCAG
This 20-nucleotide microRNA is filed under the name Homo sapiens (human). RNAcentral's name for it is "hsa-miR-6838-3p". Lineage: Eukaryota; Metazoa; Chordata; Mammalia; Primates; Hominidae. The record is from miRBase by way of RNAcentral.